UGAGGCAGAGGAAUGGUGUUUGGUCCACUUAUUUUGUUAUCAGGAACUUGUCUCUUCCCAGUCAAUCAUUCUCCUAGCAUUCACUCCCAUCACGUUUCUAUGGAACACUUGUCCAGGUCUCACCCCUAUGCUAGUGAUGCUGAGACGUGCAAAGGCAGCUUCCUCAGGACAGAAUGAGAAUGUGCUCCCUGUUAAUGUUAAUGACGUCAUGAUCUGAGUCCAGAAUCAGUCUGGACGAGUCCAGGAGAUGAAGGUGUGGCUAAUGUCUCAGCAAAAUGGUAAAUGCUGGGACCUUCA
Molecule: long non-coding RNA, 297 nt
Organism: Mus musculus (house mouse)
Lineage: Eukaryota; Metazoa; Chordata; Mammalia; Rodentia; Muridae
Product: predicted gene, 31198
Exons: 3
Source: RefSeq, a predicted model, not a curated record